AGUGAACGCUGGCGGUAGGCCUAACACAUGCAAGUCGAACGGCAGCACAGUAAGAGCUUGCUCUUACGGGUGGCGAGUGGCGGACGGGUGAGGAAUACAUCGGAAUCUACUUUUUCGUGGGGGAUAACGUAGGGAAACUUACGCUAAUACCGCAUACGACCUACGGGUGAAAGCAGGGGAUCUUCGGACCUUGCGCGAUUGAAUGAGCCGAUGUCGGAGUAGCUAGUUGGCGGGGUAAAGGCCCACCAAGGCGACGAUCCGUAGCUGGUCUGAGAGGAUGAGCGGCCACACUGGAACUGAGACACGGUCCAGACUCCUACGGGAGGCAGCAGUGGGGAAUAUUGGACAAUGGGCGCAAGCCUGAUCCAGCCAUACCGCGUGGGUGAAGAAGGCCUUCGGGUUGUAAAGCCCUUUUGUUGGGAAAGAAAAGCAGCAGGUUAAUACCCCGCUGUUCUGACGGUACCCAAAGAAUAAGCACCGGCUAACUUCGUG
RNAcentral lists this ribosomal RNA (492 nucleotides) under uncultured bacterium. RNAcentral describes it as "partial 16S ribosomal RNA". It matches the Rfam family "Bacterial small subunit ribosomal RNA", at positions 29 to 507 of the family's 1533-position model. The record is from RNAcentral.